RNAcentral lists this ribosomal RNA (450 nucleotides) under uncultured Bacillus sp. RNAcentral's name for it is "bacterial SSU rRNA". It matches the Rfam family "Bacterial small subunit ribosomal RNA", at positions 990 to 1440 of the family's 1533-position model. Lineage: Bacteria; Bacillati; Bacillota; Bacilli; Caryophanales; Bacillaceae. The record is from RNAcentral.
UCUGACAAUCCUAGAGAUAGGACGUCCCCUUUCGGGGGCAGAGUGACAGGUGGUGCAUGGUUGUCGUCAGCUCGUGUCGUGAUAUGUUGGGUUAAGUCCCGCAACGAGCGCAACCCUUGAUCUUAGUUGCCAGCAUUCAGUUGGGCACUCUAAGGUGACUGCCGGUGACAAACCGGAGGAAGGUGGGGAUGACGUCAAAUCAUCAUGCCCCUUAUGACCUGGGCUACACACGUGCUACAAUGGACAGAACAAAGGGCAGCGAAACCGCGAGGUUAAGCCAAUCCCACAAAUCUGUUCUCAGUUCGGAUCGCAGUCUGCAACUCGACUGCGUGAAGCUGGAAUCGCUAGUAAUCGCGGAUCAGCAUGCCGCGGUGAAUACGUUCCCGGGCCUUGUACACACCGCCCGUCACACCACGAGAGUUUGUAACACCCGAAGUCGGUGAGGUAACC